Molecule: small RNA, 956 nt
Filed under: Oryza sativa Japonica Group (Japanese rice)
Lineage: Eukaryota; Viridiplantae; Streptophyta; Magnoliopsida; Poales; Poaceae
Description: sRNA Os05g0212250
Source: RNAcentral
CUUCGCAGUUCUGGUGGAAGUUGCGCAACAUGCAUUGAAGAAUUUGAUUUAGCUUGGUGUUGAAGCUCCAUCAUUUCUUCCUUGCUGUACUUUAUUCUUUCAUCUCAGAUUUCAGCAAGUCUACUUGGGCCAGCCGAACUUUUUGCCACUUUUGCUUUUACCUGUUGAGGUUGUCUAGAGGACUUGUGAAGAUGCGAAGUACCACCAUAAUUUGCCUGAAGUUCCUGUAUAAGCUCAUGUCUCACUUCAAUCACAGGGUGACACGUACAGAAUGCUGAAAUUGCAUCUCCUGUUAAGAUCCAACAGCCGCUUAAAUCCAACAUACGCAGCGUGGCAGGGGGAACAAACUUUCUAAGCCCAGUGGUGGACAAUAUAUUCCCACAGAACCCAAGAUGUAUCAAAUUUGAGGCAGAAGACAGUGCAUGCAAGGCAGGAUCAGACAAGAAAUCACUUUUUAGGAACAAAUAUUUCAGUGCUCUAAGGGAUGCUAAGGGAGGUAUAACAUCAUCCAUCAGCUGUGUAUUAUUCAAAUUUAGGCUUUCCAGGUAUUUGAGUUCUUCAAGCGCAGAGAGAGACAGUACACUGAUAUUAUCAUAUAAAAUGCUGGGCAAGAGAAUCACAACCUUUGAUACAUGUGCGACUCAGGUUUAAAAUUCUCAGUGAAGGCAUCAUGCUUAUGUAUAAUAAAGCAGAAUCAUCAAUUUUUGUAUGAGCUAAAGACAGUGUUGUCAGACUUGGAACUGUUCCUGCCAGAACACACAGUGCUUGAGAAGUUACUUCAGAAUUACUCAGGCUCAAAAACUUAAGGUUCAUUCCAAUAUUUGCAAUAUAUUCAAUUGCAUCGCUAAUUAUUCUGCUGUAGCUAAGGUCCAAGUGCUCUAGAUUCCUCAUAUUUCCCAAGAAAUACAAGUUGCUUGAAGAGCAACUUGACAUAUCCAAGUAUGUCAGUGAACUUG